Molecule: unclassified non-coding RNA, 414 nt
Filed under: Bartonella sp.
Lineage: Bacteria; Pseudomonadati; Pseudomonadota; Alphaproteobacteria; Hyphomicrobiales; Bartonellaceae
Description: partial 16S-23S ribosomal RNA intergenic spacer
Rfam family: tRNA (bases 119-192)
Source: RNAcentral
AGAUGAUGAUCCCAAGCCUUCUGGCGAUCUUUAAAAUGCGCCUUUAUUUUGGCUUUAAGGAAAGAAUAUUUCCGUUUUAUAAGAUUAUGCCGGGGAAGGUUUUCCGGUUUGUUCCGGAGGGCUUGUAGCUCAGUUGGUUAGAGCGCGCGCUUGAUAAGCGUGAGGUCGGAGGUUCAAGUCCUCCCAGGCCCACCAAUUUGAUUUAAGUGCUUAUAAAGUGCUUAUAAUGAGGUGCACAGAAGAGAUAUAUGAAGGCACUGUAAAGUGUGAAAGUAUAUAGGUUAUGUGCAGUUUAUCUAUCGCGCUGAAGUGAUUUAAACUCAGCUUUCGAUUAUGAGUUUUAAUCCUUUAUCCUAUUUUAGGGGCCGUAGCUCAGCUGGGAGAGCACCUGCUUUGCAAGCAGGGGGUCGUCGG